GGGACACGCUGGGAAGAUGGAUCUUCAUCGCCCUUCCUAAUUCUAUGCAUCAUCAACACCAGGGCACGGUGGACGCCUUUCCCGGCAGUUCGUCUCAGCACCACAGCCUGGGUGCCUGCAUCACCUGCACCUUGCAUACAGAAGCUAACACCAGGCUGUAUCAAUUCCGGAGCCCAAGAGAGAAACAGGAUGUCCCAUGUGAUUUCUGCUACUUCAGAGUGGGGUCUUCCAGGAAUCUUUGUGAUAUGGCUUGGCUAUGUCCCCACCCAAAUCUCAUCUUGAGUUGUAAUUCCCACAAUUCCCACGUGUCAUGGGAGGAUCCCGGUGGGAGGUAAUUGAAUUACGGGGAGGGGGAGUCUUUCCUGCACUGUUCUCGUGAUAGUGAAUGAGUCUUGCAAGAACCGAUGGUUUUAAAAAUGGGAGUUUCCCCGCACACGCUCUUUUUGCCUGCUGCCAUCCACAUAAGAUGUGACUUGCUCCUCCUUGCCUUCCAUCACGAUUGUGAGGCCUCCCUAGCCAUGUGGAACUGUAGGUCCAAUAAACCUUUUUCUUUCGUAAAUUGCCCAGUCUUGGGUGUGUCUUUAUCAGCAGUGUGAAAACGGACUAAUACACUUUGGGUGAUAGGAGGAGCUGAGGGAUGUUGAGUACGUUUCCUCCAGCCCAGAG
This is a long non-coding RNA of Pan paniscus (pygmy chimpanzee), 666 nucleotides long. Lineage: Eukaryota; Metazoa; Chordata; Mammalia; Primates; Hominidae. The record is from Ensembl.